UGAACGCUGGCGGCGUGCUUAACACAUGCAAGUCGUACGAGAACGCUUCUGCUUGCAGAGGCUAGUAAAGUGGCGCACGGGUGAGUAACGCGUGGGUAAUCUACCCUCGAAUUGGGGAUAACAUUGCGAAAGCGAUGCUAAUACCGAAUAAUAUCCAUUUAUUCUCGAAUUUUUGGAUCAAAGGUGGCCUCUUCUUGAAAGCUACUGUUUGAGGAUGAGCCCGCGUCCCAUUAGCUUGUUGGUAGGGUAAUGGCCUACCAAGGCAACGAUGGGUAGCUGGUCUGAGAGGAUGAUCAGCCAAACUGGAACUGACACACGGUCCAGACUCCUACGGGAGGCAGCAGUGAGGAAUUUUGCGCAAUGGGGGAAACCCUGACGCAGCAACGCCGCGUGAGUGAUGAAGGCUUUCGGGUCGUAAAGCUCUGUCAAGUGGGAAGAAUCUGCAUUUGGCUAAUAUCCAUUUGCACUGACGGUACCACUGAAGGAAGCACCGGCUAACUCC
RNAcentral lists this ribosomal RNA (502 nucleotides) under uncultured bacterium. Its description in RNAcentral is "bacterial SSU rRNA". It matches the Rfam family "Bacterial small subunit ribosomal RNA", at positions 30 to 504 of the family's 1533-position model. The record is from RNAcentral.